This is a long non-coding RNA of Daphnia pulicaria, 506 nucleotides long. RefSeq lists it as uncharacterized. Lineage: Eukaryota; Metazoa; Arthropoda; Branchiopoda; Diplostraca; Daphniidae. The transcript has 5 exons. The record is from RefSeq and is a predicted model, not a curated record.
CUUAGGGAUUUCGUCUGUUGUGAUGUGUGAUGCUGCGGUGGUGGCUUUUUGGUGAAGACGAGAUGUAAAUUUGGAGGGGAGAAUAUUACGAGGAAACGUGAAAGGGUCGUGGUCGUCGUGCUACCGUCAACUAUUUUUUUCAAAAUUUUGUUCAAAAUCAUUGUAUUCUACUGAAUGUGCCAUCAAAAUGAUACUGGAGUCCUAAAUUGUAUUGGACUUGCUAGACCACCAACCCCAGCAUAGACCAAUUUCUCAUUUCAUCUUCUCGAGAGAAGAUUGGAUAACUGAUCUGUGGUUUCAUGUGUUCUAAACUCCAGCUUUCUAAAUUUGCAUGGCAGACUUUAUGAGAAGUCAUGUCCUUUCAAGAAAGUCAACAAGGUCCCUGUUUACUAACCUAUUGGCUGCUACCCUUGAAUCUCCCUUUUUACUUUCUUAAGCGGGCCAUCGUUAUUUGAGGGUAAUCCUUCGCUACUUUUCAUGGACUUCAUCCACUGGUGAAAACCGAC